Molecule: transfer RNA, 85 nt
Filed under: Felis catus (domestic cat)
Lineage: Eukaryota; Metazoa; Chordata; Mammalia; Carnivora; Felidae
Rfam family: tRNA
About the family: Transfer RNA (tRNA) molecules are approximately 80 nucleotides in length. Their secondary structure includes four short double-helical elements and three loops (D, anti-codon, and T loops). Further hydrogen bonds mediate the characteristic L-shaped molecular structure. tRNAs have two regions of fundamental functional importance: the anti-codon, which is responsible for specific mRNA codon recognition, and the 3' end, to which the tRNAs corresponding amino acid is attached (by aminoacyl-tRNA synthetases). tRNAs cope with the degeneracy of the genetic code in two manners: having more than one tRNA (with a specific anti-codon) for a particular amino acid; and 'wobble' base-pairing, i.e. permitting non-standard base-pairing at the 3rd anti-codon position.
Source: Rfam by way of RNAcentral
GCCUGGGUGGCUCAGUUGGUUAAGCAUCUGACUUUGGCUCAGGUCAUGGUCUCAUGGUUCUUGGGUUUGAUCCCCACAUCGGGCU